This 231-nucleotide ribosomal RNA is filed under the name uncultured eukaryote. RNAcentral describes it as "partial 18S ribosomal RNA". It matches the Rfam family "Eukaryotic small subunit ribosomal RNA", at positions 1208 to 1456 of the family's 1831-position model. The record is from RNAcentral.
GGAAAACUUACCAGGUCCAGACAUAGUAAGGAUUGACAGAUUGACAGCUCUUUCUUGAUACUAUGGGUGGUGGUGCAUGGCCGUUCUUAGUUGGUGGAGUGAUUUGUCUGGUUAAUUCCGUUAACGAACGAGACCUUAACCUGCUAAAUAGCUACGUGAAACUUCGCGUUUCAUGGGUAUGCUUCUUAGAGGGACUUUGCGUGUUUAACGCAAGGAAGUUUGAGGCAAUAA